Molecule: long non-coding RNA, 343 nt
Organism: Halichondria panicea
Lineage: Eukaryota; Metazoa; Porifera; Demospongiae; Suberitida; Halichondriidae
Exons: 2
Source: RefSeq, a predicted model, not a curated record
UGUCUCUACUAUUACAGUUAUGUUGUAUGUGUACGGUGGAGGGCCUAUGAUCUACACAGGAGCCACUCUCGUCAUUAGGAAAAAGUUUUCUGCCUAACACUUUUGGACCAUGCAAUAGUGCAAAGUACAACUGCACUCUGUGUCAUGUGAUCAUCAUGCUGUCAUCUCUUAUCUACUACAAGUGGGAUUCCUAUCUCAAGAUGUGAUUGAGAAUCAAGCACCUAUAUAAUUAUAUAGCCUCGAUUCCAGGCCGCACCUUUAGACAAACAAUUCAAUCUAGUUUCAGGUUAUUAAUUUUGCACAUUUCUCAUUAUUGACCAAUUAACUUUCAAGUUUUACAUGA